This 549-nucleotide ribosomal RNA is filed under the name uncultured fungus. RNAcentral describes it as "eukaryotic LSU rRNA". The stretch from base 195 to 348 matches the Rfam family "5.8S ribosomal RNA". Lineage: Eukaryota; Fungi. The record is from RNAcentral.
AAGUCGUAAUAAGGUCUCCGUUGGUGAACCAGCGGAGGGAUCAUUACCGAGUUUACAACUCCCAAACCCCUGUGAACAUACCUAUACGUUGCCUCGGCGGAUCAGCCCGCGCCCUGUAAAAAGGGACGGCCCGCCCGAGGACCCUAAACUCUGUUUUUAGUGGAACUUCUGAGUAAAACAAACAAAUAAAUCAAAACUUUCAACAACGGAUCUCUUGGUUCUGGCAUCGAUGAAGAACGCAGCAAAAUGCGAUAAGUAAUGUGAAUUGCAGAAUUCAGUGAAUCAUCGAAUCUUUGAACGCACAUUGCGCCCGCCAGUAUUCUGGCGGGCAUGCCUGUUCGAGCGUCAUUUCAACCCUCAAGCUCAGCUUGGUGUUGGGACUCGCGGUAACCCGCGUUCCCCAAAUCGAUUGGCGGUCACGUCGAGCUUCCAUAGCGUAGUAAUCAUACACCUCGUUACUGGUAAUCGUCGCGGCCACGCCGUAAAACCCCAACUUCUGAAUGUUGACCUCGGAUCAGGUAGGAAUACCCGCUGAACUUAAGCAUAUCA